Molecule: ribosomal RNA, 323 nt
Filed under: uncultured eukaryote
Lineage: Eukaryota
Description: partial 18S ribosomal RNA
Rfam family: Eukaryotic small subunit ribosomal RNA
Source: RNAcentral
CCCUUAGAUGUUCUGGGCCGCACGCGUGCUACACUGAACGGUUCAAUGGGUAAGGUAGUGCGAAAGCAUGACCUAAUCUCGAAAUCCGUUCGUGCUGGGGAUAGAAGCUUGCAAUUAUCCUUCUUGAACGAGGAAUACCUUGUAAGCGUGAGUCAUCAUCUCACGCUGAAUACGUCCCUGCCCUUUGUACACACCGCCCGUCGCUCCUACCGAUUGAGUGUUCCGGUGAGGCUUUAGGAGAAUGGCCUCAACAUGAGUUUAUCGUGUUUUGCCGUUUGAACUUAGUCAAACCUUAUCACUUAGAGGAAGGAGAAGUCGUAACA